GAGGGUGUAGCUCAAAGUGGUAGAGCACACGCUUCGCAUGCACGAGGUUCUGGGUUCAAUUCCCAGGACCUCCU
This 74-nucleotide transfer RNA is filed under the name Camelus bactrianus (Bactrian camel). It matches the Rfam family "tRNA". Rfam says of the family: Transfer RNA (tRNA) molecules are approximately 80 nucleotides in length. RNAcentral also lists the same sequence under 1 other name. The record is from Rfam by way of RNAcentral. Lineage: Eukaryota; Metazoa; Chordata; Mammalia; Artiodactyla; Camelidae.